GUCGUAACACCCCGUUUACGACAAAGUUACAACGUAUAUUACCCUCGUAAAAAAUAUGUUUUCUUGUAGUGAAACCACAAAAGACUUAAUGCGUGAUCCUGCUGGAUUCAUCUGGAUCUUUUGCAAAGCCACUGAUUCUUUUCUUUCUUGGGCACACCAUCAUCUGAAGCUACCGGUAAAAAUGAGAAACCAAAUCUGAUUCUUCUUGAUUCAUUCAUGUCUAUAUGUUCAGCGAAAUCAAGAAAGGGAACAAAAGGAAGAGAGAGAGAGAGAGAGAGAGAGAGAGAGAGAGAGAGAGAGAGAGAGAGAGAGAGGAAACCAAAACCACAUCACUUAGCCAUCAUGACCUUAACAAACUCCUCAUAGUUAAUCUGACCAUCACCAUCAACAUCAGCUUCCUUGAUCAUCUCAUCAACCUCUUCAUCGGUAAGCUUCUCGCCUAAGUUUGUCAUCACAUGACGGAGCUCAGCAGCCGAGAUAAAACCGUUCUGGUCCUUGU
Molecule: long non-coding RNA, 499 nt
Organism: Brassica napus (rape)
Lineage: Eukaryota; Viridiplantae; Streptophyta; Magnoliopsida; Brassicales; Brassicaceae
Exons: 2
Source: RefSeq, a predicted model, not a curated record